RNAcentral lists this long non-coding RNA (2815 nucleotides) under Vitis vinifera (wine grape). RNAcentral's name for it is "long non-coding RNA (VVIN_LNC000990)". The record is from RNAcentral. Lineage: Eukaryota; Viridiplantae; Streptophyta; Magnoliopsida; Vitales; Vitaceae.
UAGCAUGUGUCCAACAUGUCAUUUUCCUUCCGCCUCCCAUUGGAAAGAGGAUAUUUCGCCAUUGCUUUCUUGAAUGCAGCUUUGAGUGCUGAAUAGGCUCGUUGAGGCAGGCGAGUGAUGACAGUUCCCGAGUCUAUUAUAGUUCCAGGUGAUGCAAACACAGAGCUGGGAAUAUUAAGUCGCUUGUUACCAACACUUAUAUCCAAGAGCUUGAAGAAAUAGUACCCUGACUCCUCUAACCCUGAGGUUCCAGGACCAUUUACAAGCGAUGUGAACUUUAAGGAGGAGGAUUGGGAAGUGGCUUUCUCUCCAAAUAGCAGCGAUCCAAUGGAAUUUUCCUCAGGGAGACAGUAACUGAAAACUUUUUUAAACUUCGAAGCUGUUUGAGAUACGGUAGAAAGCUGCCCUUGUCCAAGCCCCAGCAUCCCAUCAGCUCCGCUGCCAAAAUCACCCUCAUUAUUUCUUCCACAACCGAAUUGAAACUUUUGGAACACAUCUGAAGGCUCCAUUGUCAUGGUAUCGCAUCCAUAGUUUCCUACAGAGGUAGAUUUAUCGCCAUAUGUCAUGUUAUAGGUGUUUCCAACAGUACUUGGAAUGCAAGAACCAAAGGAAUAAGUGGAUGAUGCCAACGAGUCGAAAUGCCGAUGGGAGUCUUUAAUCGCUCAUUUAAUUGACACAAUAACAAUUAGCUCAAUUAUUCCGAUAAAAAAAUAUUAGUUUAGUGAUGUAUGAACAACUAUUCAACAAAGAUAAACUUAGUCAUUCACUUUCAUCCAACUCAAUCCCUGAAAAUGUCAAAACUUUAUAUUUUCUUUCAAUUUCCACAAAUUUCUCAGCAAUCGAACACAUGAAAGCUAAAAAUUCCAGAUAAGCCCAAUUAAGUUGAAGCAUGUUGGCAUGGAAAAAAAAAACAAGAAUCAAUAAGAAAAGCCUAGAAUUGUAAUGAAUUACAAAAUAAUUCUCAAAUAAUAAAAAAAAAAUUAAAAGAAAAAUUACAGAUUGAAGCCCUAGAUCACUAUCGUUCAAAUCAUAUACAUAUAGAAAUAGAGAGUGAGAUAGAGUACCUGGGAUGAGAAUGAGAGAGGCACAAAGAAAGAGGAAGUCGAGUGAGAGAGGUAACAAAGGCGGGACGUGAGGAUAUGGUGGUAGGUGACAAUGGUGGUGCGGCAAAGGCACCAAAGGGCACGCAACUUCUGCUAGACCAUGCACCAAGUUGUUGCAUCUCGACUGUAGACCACACACUAAGAGGAAAAAUGAAGGAAAUGAUUAGGUUUUGUGUUUGGGUUUAUACUAGUUAGAUAUGUAUAAAGGGAAGGGUGAACAAAAGGUUUACACAGAGAAAUAAAUGAAGAAGAAAGGUUAUGGUAUUAAGUUAUUUUUUAUUUUUGGUCUUUUGUUUUUUUUAAACCUAUGGAGGUUGACCAGGCAGCAAGAGGAGGGCAUGCUAGGCAUUAAAAAACAACUCAGCCCAAGGUGCAUGAAACACAAAAUAUUUUUGGGGUUAGCAUUGUAAACUUGAAAUUGGCAAACUUAAGUUUUAAAUAUGCUAUUAUUUUGAUAUUGAUAGCCUUAAACCUAAGUUUCCCAUUACCUUACCAAAAGAAGAACUCAAUCGGAAGAGUUAGCGAUGAAAAUACUCAGAGGUCUGCAAGAUAUCCGGAGCAAAUUCGCCAAGAAUAAGAUGAAAAAAAGAGACUAGAAGAAGAGGAAAUGAAGAGAUGAAGAAAUAAAGAAAAGAUAAGAGAAAAAAUUACUUGGGGUAGGAAAGCGAUGUAACCAUGAGCAACCGCCCACUGUAGAAUUCCAGAAGUCUCCGCCACGUGUCCAAGAGAGGGCCCCACUCACAUUAUGGGGUGAACAGUUAUAUACCAUUAAUAUUUUUCCCGCUUAAAAGACCCUAUCAUCGACUCUUUGAAAUAGGAAAAAGGGGCAAGUGAGGUGGCCAUAACCAUGGAUUGAAAAAUCUAGAUAUUAUGUCGAAAUAUCGAAUUUUGGAGGUGGUUGAUACAUUCCAAACCUACUGCAAACCAAUAAAUUUACAGCAACAUAAAACUACUGCAUUCUGUUCAUUCCAAACCUUACAUUAUGCAAGCCACAAACAUUUGAAUGGAAUAUGUUUUCCACUCAGAAUUUUAUUACAAGAGCAAACCAAACAAAUUAAACAUGAAAUGGGUCACCCCACUCCUUAUGCAUCUAUUUGACAUCCUCUACCUGCACUCCUAAUUACCAGACAAAACCAUAAGGAUGGAUUAGGUCUCACGGGGAGCAACCAUUGCUCCUAAACCCUAUCCUUCCUCCUUGUAUGUCAUAUAGAACUGUUAGAGACAAUUGUUGUCUAUUUCCAAUAAUGGUUAAUUCGGGGUUCAUGGUUGAUUUGGAGUUCCCAGCAAAAGCCAAGCAAAGACGAGAUUCAUCACUCCCCCAAACAAUAUUCGUUCCAUUCAAACGUACGUCGGCUCCUCCCCCAAAAUGUAGCACUAUCUCCGGUAGUAACACAUCUUUCCUUCCACUUAAAUUGUAGCAUGUGUCCAAUAUGUCACCUUUCUUCCGCCUCCCAUUGGAAAGAGGAUAUUUCGCCAUUGCUUUCUUGAAUGCAGCUUUGAGUGCUGAAUAGGCUCGUUGAGGCAGGCGAGUGAUGACAGUUCUCGAGUCUAUUAUAGUUCCAGGUGAUGCAAACACCGAGCUGGGAAUAUUCAGUCGCUCGUUACCAACACUUAUAUCCGAGAGAUUGACGAAAUAGUACCCUGACUCCUGUAGGGUUCCAGGACCAUUUACAAGCGAUGUGAACUUUAAGGAGGAGGAUUGGGAAGUGGCU